CCCCCUUUCCCCACCCCCAAACACGUCUUCGCGCUCUCUUUUUAAAGAGCUAGAAACUUUAAAAACUUGAAACGGCACAGGCGUGCAGCUUGCCAAUGGGCUGCUUCGCCGCUUCCAUCAGCUGGAAACAGAGCCCAAGGAGUGCUGGACCUACAAACUCAAUAUCCUGAUACUGAGAUCGGUAACCCCUCAUCUAUUUCCAAAAUCAGAAGAGAAAUCUGGAGAUACAAGAUAAUUAUUAUAAAGGUUAUUUUCCACCCUUGGUGAAGCAGGCUUAAUGGAAACAUCCAGAAAUUCUUAGGAAAACAAGUUUCUUACUUCCCAAAGAGGACUUAUAAAAGCAUAUUAAUGAAACAAAUGGAGUUAUUUGUGUAACAUGAAGUAUAUAGUUUUCAAGAAAAACGAUAGAGAUGGGUCGUCAUUGCUUUUGAAUAAUUUGGACAAAAGCUAGCCGUCCCUGAGAAAGACUGAGCUGGAGCCUAUGCACCACAGGGGGAAUAUAGAACUCUUGCACUGGCAAAGCCUUUCAAAAAGCUUCCCACAGACUUUGUUUCCACGUUUACUUAACAAAAUGACACCUUGAGGUCUUCUCCAAAUAAAAAGUUUGCUACAAAAGAUUAAAAUACUUAUCUUUUACAAGUUAAAAAACAAAAAGCUCAACCUUUAGUUUUUCUUGUUGUUGUAACGGUUCAGUCUUACAAGGCUUACAGCUUCCAUAUUUUGCUCUAGGGAUCUCUGCUUUUCAGUAGUACUUAGUAAUACGUUUUGUGCAGGCUGAGUCCUCUCCAGCCUGAACUUGAAGAUUGCUUCAUCCAAGUUUCGAUGGGAAAACUUUUCAUCCAUUUUUAUUUAAUAUAAUUCCCGGUAUAGUUAAGUUUGUGCCUACUACCAUACUCUUUUAUUUUCUUUUGACAAAUCUACUUUAUGUCUCUUCUUGUCCUGUAUUGAAUUAAUAAAAUGUUUUAGUUUUACCACUAACCCUCUCCAUUACCUCAAGUGGGUUUUGGAAAUUACAGUAUUCCUCUUUGAUGUAGUAGAAUCUAAUGUAAAUUAUUACUUUGAGCAAUUUCCCAGAAAUGCUAAUACCUUAGAACACUUUGCCUUGUGAACUAAAAAUCUUCAAAGUAGCUACAUCUGUAUUAAAAAACAUGGCCUGAAGAUGUGGCGCAGUGGUAAAGUACUUGCCUAGCAUAGGCAAAGCACCCACCCCACCAAUCACCAAUAACAACAACAACAAAAAUCUCAUAGGCAGCUUAAGCUCACCUGACUAGAACAUCAGGGAUGUGGAGUGAUGGAAUGCAGUAGGUCAGCAGCCAAAAUUGUCUUGGGCUAUCUUCUACCCUUUAUCACGCAGUUACCUAAACUUUUGUAUCUGACCUACAUAUCUGACAAUCAUUAAAAAGAGUAUUCUUUUUUUUUUCAUAUUCUUUUAUUGGUACAUUUUAGGUAUACAAUUUGUUUACAUUUAUCAUUGGGUGUUUGUACCUGUACAUGAUGUAUCUUGGUUCUUAUUUUUUUCCCAUUACCUGUACACCCUUCACCGCUCCACCUUUCCCUAUUUACAUAGACUUUGUUUCCAUUUUUUUCUUUUCUCAUAAUUUUUCCUUUCCCUUCUUUCCUUGCCCCUUCCCCUACCGCUUUGUACAUUUUCUUCCUAUUUCAAACUAUCAACUAUUCAUUUUAAUUGUUUUAAUCCUUAUCUACACUUUCAGUUUCUCACACUAGAAAAAGUAUUCAGUAUUUACACAUGUGUAUCGUAUUUAUUUCACUUAAGAGUAUG
This 1780-nucleotide long non-coding RNA is filed under the name Heterocephalus glaber (naked mole-rat). RNAcentral describes it as "lncRNA (ENSHGLG00100045443.1)". Lineage: Eukaryota; Metazoa; Chordata; Mammalia; Rodentia; Bathyergidae. The record is from RNAcentral.